CUACGGGCGGCAGCAGUGGGGAAUAUUGCACAAUGGGCGCAAGCCUGAUGCAGCCAUGCCGCGUGUAUGAAGAAGGCCUUCGGGUUGUAAAGUACUUUCAGCGGGGAGGAAGGGAGUAAAGUUAAUACCUUUGCUCAUUGACGUUACCCGCAGAAGAAGCACCGGCUAACUCCGUGCCAGCAGCCGCGGUAAUACGGAGGGUGCAAGCGUUAAUCGGAAUUACUGGGCGUAAAGCGCACGCAGGCGGUUUGUUAAGUCAGAUGUGAAAUCCCCGGGCUCAACCGGGGAACUGCAUCUGAUACUGGCAAGCUUGAGUCUCGUAGAGGGGGGUAGAAUUCCAGGUGUAGCGGUGAGAUGCGUAGAGAUCUGGAGGAAUACCGGUGGCGAAGGCGGCCCCCUGGACGAAGACUGACGCUCAGGUGCGAAAGCGUGGGGAGCAAACAGGAUUAGAUACCCUCGUAGUC
Molecule: ribosomal RNA, 464 nt
Filed under: uncultured bacterium
Lineage: Bacteria
Description: partial 16S ribosomal RNA
Rfam family: Bacterial small subunit ribosomal RNA
Source: RNAcentral